CUCUGGAAAGUGGCGGGUGCCCCAUCUGGUGCACGCCCACCGACGAAGUAAGCCGAAGUUCCUUUCGGCGAAUCUUUCAGGUCUCCGGACAGAG
RNAcentral lists this non-coding RNA (94 nucleotides) under Alphaproteobacteria bacterium. RNAcentral's name for it is "Glycine sequence". It matches the Rfam family "Glycine riboswitch aptamer", at positions 9 to 86 of the family's 94-position model. From Rfam's summary of the family: This family represents the bacterial glycine riboswitch. Glycine riboswitches usually consist of two metabolite-binding aptamers domains with similar structures in tandem. Lineage: Bacteria; Pseudomonadati; Pseudomonadota; Alphaproteobacteria. The record is from RNAcentral.